CAGGGAGACAACAAAAUGUUUAAUAUUAUUAUUUUGUCACCUUAGGUCGAUCGGUAUCUCACAUUCUUAAUUUAUUAAGAAUUUCAUUUCCUAAGUUUUUCUAGGUCACACCCAUUAUUUUUCCUGGGCCAUUAGCUCAGGUGGUUAGAGCGCACCCCUGAUAAGGGUGAGGUCCCUGGUUCAAGUCCAGGAUGGCCCAUCAUAUCUCUAUGUUGGGGGUAUAGCUCAGUUGGUAGAGCGCCUGCUUUGCAAGCAGGAUGUCAGCGGUUCGAGUCCGCUUACCUCCACUGAUUACCACCUCUUCCAUAAAUGUGAAAAAAGGAAAAUUUUGAGUCGUGAUCAUCAUUCUGAACGAAUCUAGCUUCCUAAUGAAACCAUUAAGAUGCUGGACUCAUUGAAUUAAUUUCAUUGUUUUCAGAGAACCUUGACAACUGCAUAGAUUAUUUUUAAAGACAAUAAGCAUCUUUAAUGAUGCAGAUUUAUUAUUUUUGCCAAUGCAUUAAUAACAAUUCUAUUAAGCUGAUGCUUCAAUAUUUGAAGUUAUU
This 545-nucleotide transfer RNA is filed under the name uncultured cyanobacterium. RNAcentral's name for it is "partial 16S-23S ribosomal RNA intergenic spacer". The stretch from base 215 to 287 matches the Rfam family "tRNA". The record is from RNAcentral. Lineage: Bacteria; Bacillati; Cyanobacteriota.